AAAAAUAAGGUGUUAGUUAAGGUACUGAGCUUCUUCCCCUGCUAGUGAAGUGUUUUGGGUCCUUAUAAUGCAUGUUGAUUUGUUUGUAGUUAUCAUAUGAACGGUGAUUCAAAGUUUGGGUUCUUUGUAUUAUUAAGAAAAUAAACACAAAAGUUCUGGCUUUUUUUUGGGUUUGUUUCUUGUGAAAAUCAUAUUUUUCUGCCUCUUUGUCAUA
This 214-nucleotide unclassified non-coding RNA is filed under the name Hevea brasiliensis (rubber tree). Lineage: Eukaryota; Viridiplantae; Streptophyta; Magnoliopsida; Malpighiales; Euphorbiaceae. The record is from RNAcentral.